RNAcentral lists this ribosomal RNA (648 nucleotides) under uncultured bacterium. Its description in RNAcentral is "bacterial SSU rRNA". It matches the Rfam family "Bacterial small subunit ribosomal RNA", at positions 120 to 757 of the family's 1533-position model. The record is from RNAcentral.
GGUGACCUGCCUUUGAGUUUGGGAUAACUAUUAGAAAUGAUAGCUAAUACCGAAUUAAAUGCAGAUUCGUUUCUGUAUUAAAAGGAGCCUUUAAAGCUUCGCUUAAAGAUGGGCCUGCGGCGUAUUAGCUAGUUGGUGAGGUAAUGGCUUACCAAGGCGACGAUGCGUAGCCGAACUGAGAGGUUGAUCGGCCACAUUGGGACUGAGACACGGCCCAAACUCCUGCGGGAGACAGCAGUUAGGAAUAUUCGUCAAUGGGGGAAACCCUGAACGAGCAAUGCCGCGUGAACGAUGAAGGCCCUAUGGGUUGUAAAGUUCUGUUGCAUGGGACGAACGAUUAGGAUAGGAAAUGAUCUUAAUGUGACGGUACCAUGCCAGAAAGCUCCGGCUAACUACGUGCCAGCAGCCGCGGUAAUACGUAGGGAGCAAGCGUUAUCCGGAUUUAUUGGGCGUAAAGGGUGCGUAGGCGGUUUGUUAAGUAUGAGAUUAAAGCCCGAGGCUUAACCUCGGUUCGUUUCAUAAACUGGCAGGCUUGAGUGUGGCAGAGGUAAACGGAAUUUCUAGUGUAGCGGUUAAAUGCGUAGAUAUUAGAAGGAACACCAGUGGCGAAGGCGGUUUACUGGGCCAUAACUGACGCUGAGGCACGAA